This 397-nucleotide ribosomal RNA is filed under the name uncultured bacterium. RNAcentral's name for it is "partial 16S ribosomal RNA". It matches the Rfam family "Bacterial small subunit ribosomal RNA", at positions 523 to 918 of the family's 1533-position model. The record is from RNAcentral.
AUACGUAGGUGACAAGCGUUAUCCGGAUUUACUGGGCGUAAAGGGCGUGUAGGCGGUCUUGCAAGUCAGAAGUGAAAUUCCUGAGCUCAACUCGGGCGCUGCUUCUGAAACUGCAGGACUUGAGUGCUGGAGGGGAUAGCGGAAUUCCUAGUGGAGCGGUAAAAUGCGCAGAUAUUAGGAAGAACACCGGUGGCGAAGGGGGCUAUCUGGACAGUAACUGAGGCUGAGGCGCGAUAGCGUUGGGAGCAAACAGGAUUAGAUGCCCUGGUAGUCCACGCCGUAAACGAUGAAUACUAGGUGUAGGGGGUAUCGACUCCCUCUGUGCCGCAGUUAACACAAUAAGUAUUCCGCCUGGGGAGUACGGCCGCAAGGUUGAAACUCAAAUGAAUUGACGGGG